CCCUACUGCUAUUUCUCAGAUCUGCUAGGCAUUUUUUUCUCAAAUACAUAGAUCUGCUAGGGAUGAAUCAAUACAUGCAUUGAAAUUUAUUAUUGAAUAGUUGGAGCACUGCCAUAUGCAAGUUGAAACUCUAUACACAUCGAUUUCAAUGAAAUUGGAAUUGUCUCUGCUCUUGCAUUUGGUUGCAAUUGAUUUUUUCCAUGGACUAGAUGCAUGCUUGAUUUAUUAGUUUUUUUUUGCAAUGGCAGACAACUAAAAUACAAUUCCCAUGAUCUGUGUGAACUAAAAUACAACUGGAAUUUGGUGCUAGCGUAUCCUUAAUGUCUUCUCUGAUCUAUUGCUAGCUGCUGAUUGGGAGCAGAGCAGCUUGGAUUUUUCAGAAGCCGCGCUGGGUGUAGCUCACUAGAAUUGAUAUAUAUACAUGACUAGACCGGUUAAGUUUGGUAUUUGUAUACCCGUCCUAGCUGAAUUUUUUGGCUGAGUCCGCUAAUGUCUGUUCUGCUCUCUGAAAUAUUUUUUUGGCACUAAUCUUGUCUAUGCUUGAAUACUGGCUAGGGAAUUAAUAAUUUUUUGGCACUAAUCUUGUCUAUGCUUGAAUACUGGCUAGGGAAUUAAUCUAUUCAAGGUUAUUUGUUAUGACAUGAGUUGUAAAUUUGGGGCAGGUAGGCUAACAUAAUUGGUUGUUGUUAUUGCCAAUUUUUGCCCAUAGAACUGCAGUGGUGCCUUGUGGAAAGCUUGAGAUGUAGAUACUAGCUGACGUGCUUGAUGGACAUGAAUGAAUGAAUUAGUAAUGCUUGGUUCAGUUUUAACAUAACCAAUCAUUCAAAUACAUGCGACACUAACAACUAGCAAUAUAGCAUUAAAUGUUAGCAUAUAUUCUAAUGACUGGUUUUGUGGUCAUCUAAGUGAAUAAUGUAUGUAUUUUGUCUGCAGCUCACAGAAACUUGGAAUUUUAAUAAUUAGCUAGCAUAUGCUACUUAUAUAAGGGAAUCCUUUUCUUGCAGGUGAAAAGGAUCAAACUGCUUCUGUUCAGCUAGAUUAGGUAAAAGAUGGACGGUGGGCAAGCCAGUGGGUGAGGAAGUGCGCUCGGCAGCGAAGCAUCAAUCAGGGACAUCGUCAAACCAUGUCGGAGGGUCGAAGGCAUCGCGCGCCGGGCCAUCCCCACCUGGACCGUUGCCGGGAUCGCACAUUGGGGCGUCCCAACCCUCGCCGGCAUCGCACAGUGGACUGUCGCCGUGAGCCGUCUUCGGAGUCGUUUUUAUGUAUUGAACUUGUCUUGGAAUAAUGUGUACUUUUGAACAUGCAGUUUGUAAUAUAAUGUGAAUUUUGUACAAAUUUGAUCGUUUGUGAUAUAUAAAUGUGGUUUGUGAUA
RNA transcript from Sorghum bicolor (sorghum), 1372 nucleotides. RefSeq lists it as uncharacterized. The transcript is spliced from 3 exons. The record is from RefSeq and is a predicted model, not a curated record. NCBI's taxonomy places the organism in Eukaryota, Viridiplantae, Streptophyta, Magnoliopsida, Poales, Poaceae.